Culex pipiens pallens (northern house mosquito) is the source of this 257-nucleotide long non-coding RNA. RefSeq lists it as uncharacterized. The record is from RefSeq and is a predicted model, not a curated record. Lineage: Eukaryota; Metazoa; Arthropoda; Insecta; Diptera; Culicidae. The transcript is spliced from 2 exons.
UCACUAACACUCAGACACGCUUAUAGCAGCCGUCGCUGUCACUUGUCGGGCCGUUCUGCCAGUUUUGCUGUCGACAUUUUUUUCGGCGGACAAACAGUUAUUCCUAAUUUUGAAGAUUUGUUUCUAAAACUCGGAAAAAUAAUGAUUUGUCGAACAGGUUGCAUGCUCAGUUGCUGGUCCAGGAAACCGUUAGGAUGCUGUUCCUGUGGAAAAGGGUUGUCGAGAAAUCACGGAUUUGGCCUUGACGAUGUGUUAAA